RNAcentral lists this ribosomal RNA (1381 nucleotides) under metagenome. RNAcentral describes it as "bacterial LSU rRNA". It matches the Rfam family "Bacterial large subunit ribosomal RNA", at positions 1522 to 2925 of the family's 2925-position model. The record is from RNAcentral.
AGCAGUCAUGCAGGCAAAACCGCAUGAAAAAUGUAAAGCGUUAUGUGGAUCGAACAUUAGUAGAGAAGCGUGUGAGCCAGCUGCCAAGAAAAGCCGCUAUUGCUUCAUAAGUACCCGUACCGUAAACCGACACAGGUGGAUGAAGAGAGAAUCCUAAGGCCGGCGGGAGAAGUGUUGUUAAGGAACUCGGCAAAAUGACUCCGUAACUUCGGGAGAAGGAGUGCCACAGAGAUGUGGCCGCAGAGAAAUGGCCCAAGCAACUGUUUAGCAAAAACACAGGUCUAUGCAAAACCGAAAGGUGAGGUAUAUGGCUGACGCCUGCCCGGUGCUGGAAGGUUAAGAGGAGAGGUUAGAGCAAUCGAAGCUUUGAAUUUAAGCCCCAGUAAACGGCGGCCGUAACGAUAACGGUCCUAAGGUAGCGAAAUUCCUUGUCGGGUAAGUUCCGACCCGCACGAAAGGCGUAAUGAUUUGGGCACUGUCUCAACAACACACCCGGUGAAAUUGAAAUACCAGUGAAGAUGCUGGUUACCUGCGCCAGGACGGAAAGACCCCAUGGAGCUUUACUCCAGUUUGAUACUGGGAUUCGGUACUGUCUGUACAGGAUAGGUGGGAGGCUAGGAAAUGGUGACGCCAGUUGCCAUGGAGCCAACCUUGGGAUACCACCCUUACAGUACUGGGUUUCUAACCUGCAGCCGUGACCCGGCUGGGGGACAAUGUCUGACGGGGAGUUUGACUGGGGCGGUCGCCUCCGAAAGAGUAUCGGAGGCGCUCAAAGGUUCCCUCAGAACGGUUGGAAACCGUUCGAAGAGUGCAAAGGCAGAAGGGAGCUUGACUGCGACACCGACGGGUGGAGCAGAUACGAAAGUAGGACUUAGUGAUCCGGUGGUAUAAAGUGGGAUUGCCAUCGCUCAACGGAUAAAAGCUACCCUGGGGAUAACAGGCUUAUCACUCCCAAGAGUUCACACCGACGGAGUGGUUUGGCACCUCGAUGUCGGCUCAUCGCAUCCUGGAGCUGUAGCAGGUUCCAAGGGUUGGGCUGUUCGCCCAUUAAAGCGGUACGCGAGCUGGGUUCAGAACGUCGUGAGACAGUUCGGCCCCUAUCCGGCGUGGGCGUAGGAUAUUUGAGAGGAGCUGUCCUUAGUACGAGAGGACCGGGAUGGACAAACCUCUGGUGUAUCUGUUGUUUUACCAAAGGCAUGGCAGAGUAGCCAAGUUUGGCAGGGAUAAACGCUGAAGGCAUCUAAGCGUGAAGCCCCCCUCAAGAUAAGAUAUCCCAUCUUCGGAGUAAGACCCCUUGAAGACUACAAGGUUGAUAGGCUUCAGGUGUAAGUGUGGUAACGCACUCAGCUGAGAAGUACUAAUAGGUCGAGGACUUAUCUAA